RNAcentral lists this ribosomal RNA (253 nucleotides) under uncultured bacterium. Its description in RNAcentral is "partial 16S ribosomal RNA". It matches the Rfam family "Bacterial small subunit ribosomal RNA", at positions 524 to 776 of the family's 1533-position model. The record is from RNAcentral.
UACGGGGGGGGCAAGCGUUGUUCGGAAUUACUGGGUUUAAAGGGUGCGUAGGAGGGCAGGUAAGUCAGUGGUGAAAUCUCCAAGCUUAACUUGGAAACUGCCGUUGAUACUAUCUGUCUUGAAUAUUGUGGAGGUGAGCGGAAUAUGUCAUGUAGCGGUGAAAUGCUUAGAUAUGACAUAGAACACCAAUUGCGAAGGCAGCUCACUACACAAUCAUUGACUCUGAGGCACGAAAGCGUGGGGAUCAAACAGG